UACGAAGGGGGCUAGCGUUGCUCGGAAUUACUGGGCGUAAAGGGCGCGUAGGCGGCUUGUACAGUCAGAUGUGAAAUUCCUGGGCUCAACCUGGGGGCUGCAUUUGAUACGUAUGGGCUUGAGUGGGGAAGAGGGUCGUGGAAUUCCCAGUGUAGAGGUGAAAUUCGUAGAUAUUGGGAAGAACACCGGUGGCGAAGGCGGCGACCUGGUCCUUGACUGACGCUGAGGCGCGAAAGCGUGGGGAGCAAACAGG
Molecule: ribosomal RNA, 253 nt
Filed under: uncultured bacterium
Lineage: Bacteria
Description: partial 16S ribosomal RNA
Rfam family: Bacterial small subunit ribosomal RNA
Source: RNAcentral